GACGAACGCUGGCGGCGUGCCUAAUACAUGCAAGUCAAGCGAACAUUUGAGAGCUUGCUCUCAAAUGUUAGCGGCGGACGGGUGAGUAACACGUGGGCAACCUGCCUAUAAGACUGGGAUAACUUCGGGAAACCGGAGCUAAUACCGGAUAAUUCACAUCUACUCAUGUAGAUGUGCUGAAAGACGGUUUACGCUGUCACUUAUAGAUGGGCCCGCGGCGCAUUAGCUAGUUGGUGAGGUAACGGCUCACCAAGGCACGAUGCGUAGCCGACCUGAGAGGGUGAUCGGCCACACUGGAACUGAGACACGGUCCAGACUCCUACGGGAGGCAGCAGUGGGGAAUUUUGCGCAAUGGGCUAACGCCUGACGCAGCAACGCCGCGUGGAGGAUGAAGGUCCUU
RNAcentral lists this ribosomal RNA (400 nucleotides) under uncultured bacterium. RNAcentral's name for it is "bacterial SSU rRNA". It matches the Rfam family "Bacterial small subunit ribosomal RNA", at positions 28 to 419 of the family's 1533-position model. The record is from RNAcentral.